RNAcentral lists this ribosomal RNA (422 nucleotides) under uncultured bacterium. RNAcentral describes it as "bacterial SSU rRNA". It matches the Rfam family "Bacterial small subunit ribosomal RNA", at positions 355 to 774 of the family's 1533-position model. The record is from RNAcentral.
UGAGGAAUAUUGGUCAAUGGGGGCAACCCUGAACCAGCCAAGUCGCGUGAAGGAUGAAGGUCUUAUGGAUUGUAAACUUCUUUUAUACAGGAAUAAAUUGGGGGACGUGUCCCCUUUUGCAUGUACUGUAUGAAUAAGGAUCGGCUAACUCCGUGCCAGCAGCCGCGGUAAUACGGAGGAUCCGAGCGUUAUCCGGAUUUAUUGGGUUUAAAGGGUGCGCAGGCGGGAUGUUAAGUCGGCGGUGAAAUUUUGCAGCUCAACUGUAACAGUGCCUUCGAUACUGGCCUCCUUGAGUGUGGAUGAAGUAGGCGGAAUUUGUGGUGUAGCGGUGAAAUGCUUAGAUAUCACGAGGAACUCCGAUUGCGCAGGCAGCUUACUAAGCCACAACUGACGCUCAUGCACGAAGGCGUGGGGAUCAAACA